GACGAACGCUGGCGGCGUGCUUAACACAUGCAAGUCGAACGGAAAGGCCCUGCUUUUGUGGGGUGCUCGAGUGGCGAACGGGUGAGUAACACGUGAGUAACCUGCCCUUGACUUUGGGAUAACUUCAGGAAACUGGGGCUAAUACCGGAUAGGAGCUCCUGCUGCAUGGUGGGGGUUGGAAAGUUUCGGCGGUUGGGGAUGGACUCGCGGCUUAUCAGCUUGUUGGUGGGGUAGUGGCUUACCAAGGCUUUGACGGGUAGCCGGCCUGAGAGGGUGACCGGCCACAUUGGGACUGAGAUACGGCCCAGACUCCUACGGGAGGCAGCAGUGGGGAAUAUUGCACAAUGGGCGGAAGCCUGAUGCAGCAACGCCGCGUGCGGGAUGACGGCCUUCGGGUUGUAAACCGCUUUCGCCUGUGACGAAGCGUGAGUGACGGUAAUGGGUAAAGAAGCACCGGCUAACUACGUGCCAGCAGCCGCGGUGAUACGUAGGGUGCGAGCGUUGUCCGGAUUUAUUGGGCGUAAAGGGCUCGUAGGUGGUUGAUCGCGUCGGAAGUGUAAUCUUGGGGCUUAACCCUGAGCGUGCUUUCGAUACGGGUUGACUUGAGGAAGGUAGGGGAGAAUGGAAUUCCUGGUGGAGCGGUGGAAUGCGCAGAUAUCAGGAGGAACACCAGUGGCGAAGGCGGUUCUCUGGGCCUUUCCUGACGCUGAGGAGCGAAAGCGUGGGGAGCGAACAGGCUUAGAUACCCUGGUAGUCCACGCUGUAAACGGUGGGUACUAGGUGUGGGGUCCAUUCCACGGGUUCCGUGCCGUAGCUAACGCUUUAAGUACCCCGCCUGGGGAGUACGGCCGCAAGGCUAAAACUCAAAGGAAUUGACGGGGCCCCGCACAAGCGGCGGAGCAUGCGGAUUAAUUCGAUGCAACGCGUAGAACCUUACCUGGGUUUGACAUGGAUCGGGAGUGCUCAGAGAUGGGUGUGCCUCUUUUGGGGUCGGUUCACAGGUGGUGCAUGGCUGUCGUCAGCUCGUGUCGUGAGAUGUUGGGUUAAGUCCCGCAACGAGCGCAACCCUUGUUCACUGUUGCCAGCACGUUAUGGUGGGGACUCAGUGGAGACCGCCGGGGUCAACUCGGAGGAAGGUGGGGAUGACGUCAAGUCACCAUGCCCCUUAUGUCCAGGGCUUCACGCAUGCUACAAUGGCUGGUACAGAGAGUGGCGAGCCUGUGAGGGUGAGCGAAUCUCGGAAAGCCGGUCUCAGUUCGGAUUGGGGUCUGCAACUCGACCUCAUGAAGUCGGAGUCGCUAGUAAUCGCAGAUCAGCAACGCUGCGGUGAAUACGUUCCCGGGAAU
Molecule: ribosomal RNA, 1346 nt
Filed under: uncultured bacterium
Lineage: Bacteria
Description: partial 16S ribosomal RNA
Rfam family: Bacterial small subunit ribosomal RNA
Source: RNAcentral